This 337-nucleotide unclassified non-coding RNA is filed under the name soil metagenome. RNAcentral describes it as "partial contains 5.8S ribosomal RNA, internal transcribed spacer 2, and large subunit ribosomal RNA". The stretch from base 1 to 120 matches the Rfam family "5.8S ribosomal RNA", at positions 35 to 154 of the family's 154-position model. The record is from RNAcentral.
GAUGAAGAACGUAGUGAAACGCGAUAGUUAAUGUGAAUUGCAGAAUUCAGUGAAUCAUCGAAUCUUUGAACGCACAUUGCGCCCCUUGGUAUUCCAUGGGGCAUGCCUGUUCGAGCGUCAUUUGUACCUUCAAGCCUUGCUUGGUGUUGGGUGUUUGUCUCGCCUCUGCGCGCAGACUCGCCUCAAAACAAUUGGCAGCCGGCGUAUUGAUUUCGGAGCGCAGUACAUCUCGCGCUUUGCACUCAGAACGACGACGUCCAAAAGUACAUUUUUACACUCUUGACCUCGGAUCAGGUAGGGAUACCCGCUGAACUUAAGCAUAUCAAUAAGCGGAGGA